This 254-nucleotide ribosomal RNA is filed under the name uncultured bacterium. RNAcentral's name for it is "partial 16S ribosomal RNA". It matches the Rfam family "Bacterial small subunit ribosomal RNA", at positions 524 to 776 of the family's 1533-position model. The record is from RNAcentral.
UACGGAGGGUGCGAGCGUUGUCCGGAAUCAUUGGGCGUAAAGGGCGCGUAGGUGGCCCGGUCAGUUCGUGGUGAAAGCGCGGGGCUCAACCCUGCGUCGGCCAUGAAUACUGCCGCGGCUGGAGCACUGUAGAGGCAGGCGGAAUUCCUGGUGUAGCGGUGAAAUGCGCAGAUAUCAGGAGGAACACCGGUGGCGAAGGCGGGUCUCUGGGCCGAUAUUGACGCUGAGGAGCGAAAGCGUGGGGAGCGAACAGG